Molecule: ribosomal RNA, 750 nt
Filed under: Triticum aestivum (bread wheat)
Lineage: Eukaryota; Viridiplantae; Streptophyta; Magnoliopsida; Poales; Poaceae
Description: partial small subunit ribosomal RNA
Source: RNAcentral
AUGGAAUCCUACGCCAACGGAGCCAAAUUCGAUUGCCUGCUGUUUGACAUGGAUGACACCCUCUACCCACUGAGCUUAGGGAUCAACCUAGCCUGCCGCAAGAACAUCCAAGACUACAUGCUGAACAAGCUUCAGAUCGAGGAGAGCCUGGUCCCCAAGAUGUGCCUGGAUCUGUACAAAGAAUACGGAACCACGAUGGCCGGUCUGAAGCUUAUGGGCUACGAUUUCGACUACGAUGAGUUCCACGCCAGCGUGCACGGUAAACUGCCCUACGAGAAGCUGAAGCCGGACCCCGUCCUGAGGAACCUGCUGCUUUCGAUGCCACAGAGGAAAAUCAUAUUCACCAACUCCGACGAGGCUCACGCGGCGACCGUCCUGGAGAAGAUGGGCCUGGAGGGGUGCUUUGAGGGAAUCAUAUGCUUCGAGACCCUGAACCAGAAGAAUUCAGGUGACAAGAGGGUCCUGUGCAAGCCGUCGCUGGAGUCCAUGGAAGCCGUGGUGGAGAUCGCCAAGCUCGACCCCAAGAAGACAGUGUUCUUCGACGACAGCCCGCGCAACAUCGCCUCAGGAAAGGCGGCAGGCUUCCAUACCGUCAUCGUAGGGAGCUCGGCGCUCGUGCCCGGGGCGGACGUGGCGCUGGAGAGCAUCCACAACAUCAGGGAGGCCCUGCCGGAGCUCUGGGAGGCGGGCGGCGACCACGUCGUCGACAUCCGGUCUGCCGCCGUCGCGGAGACCACGGUGCUCGCGUGA